AGAGUUUGAUCCUGGCUCAGGACAAACGCUGGCGGCGUGCCUAACACAUGCAAGUCGAGCGUGAAAGGGACUUCGGUCCCGAGUAAAGCGGCGAACGGGUGAGUAACACGUGGGCAACCUGCCUCAAGGACUGGGAUAACUCCGGGAAACCGGGGCUAAUACCGGGCGAUGUCUUCCGACGCAAGUCGGCCGACCAAAGGGUAGCUUCGGCCUCCGCCUUGAGAUGGGCCCGCGUCCUAUCAGCUUGUUGGUGAGGUAACGGCUCACCAAGGCUACGACGGGUAGCUGGUCUGAGAGGAUGAUCAGCCACACUGGGACUGAGAUACGGCCCAGACUCCUACGGGAGGCAGCAGUGGGGAAUUU
Molecule: ribosomal RNA, 363 nt
Filed under: uncultured bacterium
Lineage: Bacteria
Description: bacterial SSU rRNA
Rfam family: Bacterial small subunit ribosomal RNA
Source: RNAcentral